UACGGAGGGUGCAAGCGUUAAUCGGAUUUAUUGGGCGUAAAGGGCGCGUAGGCGGGCAUAUAAGUCGGUUGUGAAAUUCCAGGGCUCAACCCUGGAACAGCAACCGAAACUGUAAGUCUAGAGGGUAGACGGGGAAAACGGAAUUCCACAAGUAGCGGUGAAAUGCGUAGAUAUGUGGAAGAACACCCGUGGCGAAGGCGGUUUUCUAGUUUAAACCUGACGCUAAAGCGCGAAAGCAAGGGGAUCAAAC
This 250-nucleotide ribosomal RNA is filed under the name uncultured bacterium. RNAcentral describes it as "partial 16S ribosomal RNA". It matches the Rfam family "Bacterial small subunit ribosomal RNA", at positions 524 to 773 of the family's 1533-position model. The record is from RNAcentral.